Molecule: ribosomal RNA, 497 nt
Filed under: uncultured bacterium
Lineage: Bacteria
Description: partial 16S ribosomal RNA
Rfam family: Bacterial small subunit ribosomal RNA
Source: RNAcentral
GAUGAACGCUGGCGGCGUGCCUAAUACAUGCAAGUCGAGCGAACGGACGAGAAGCUUGCUUUUCUGAUGUUAGCGGCGGGCGGGUGAGUAACACGUGGAUAACCUACCUAUAAGACUGGGAUAACUUCGGGAAACCGGAGCUAAUACCGGAUAAUAUUUUGAACCGCGUUGUUCAAAAGUGAAAUACGGUCUUGCUGUCACUUCUAGCUGGAUCCCCGCUGCAUUAGCUAGUUGGUAAGGUAACGGCCUAUCACGGCAAGGAUGCAUAGCCGACCUGAUGGACGGAUCGGCCACACGGGAAGUGGAACGGGGUCCAUGGUACUACGGUAGGGAGCAGAAGGGAAUGGUCGGCAAUGGGCGAAAGCCUGACGGAGCAGCGCCGCGCGAGAGAUGAAGGCCUUCGGAUCGUAAAACUCGGCUACGGGGUGAAAACCGAUGUGUCAGUUAACGUGCAGAUAGUGACGGUACCUAAUAAGAAAGCCCCGGCUAACUACGUG